RNAcentral lists this ribosomal RNA (514 nucleotides) under uncultured bacterium. RNAcentral's name for it is "bacterial SSU rRNA". It matches the Rfam family "Bacterial small subunit ribosomal RNA", at positions 32 to 518 of the family's 1533-position model. The record is from RNAcentral.
AACGCUGGCGGCGUGCCUAAUACAUGCAAGUCGAACGGCUUUUCUAUGGAAGCUUGCUUCCACUGAGAAGAUAGUGGCGAACGGGUGAGUAACACGUGGGUAACCUGCCCAUAAGAGGGGGAUAACAUCCGGAAACGGGUGCUAAUACCGCAUAGUUUUCUUGGUCGCAUGAUCGGGAAAGGAAAGACGGCCUUUGUGCUGUCGCUUAUGGAUGGACCCGCGGCGUAUUAGUUAGUUGGUGAGGUAACGGCUCACCAAGACGAUGAUACGUAGCCGACCUGAGAGGGUGAUUGGCCACAUUGGGACUGAGACACGGCCCAAACUCCUACGGGAGGCAGCAGUAGGGAAUCUUCCGCAGUGGACGAAAGUCUGACGGAGCAACGCCGCGUGAGUGAAGAAAAGGUUUUCGGAUCGUAAAACUCUGUUGUCAGAGAAGAACAAGUUGGAGAGUAACUGCUCCAGCCUUGACGGUAUCUGACCAGAAAGCCACGGCUAACUACGUGCCAGCCGCUGC